Molecule: microRNA, 22 nt
Filed under: Ananas comosus (pineapple)
Lineage: Eukaryota; Viridiplantae; Streptophyta; Magnoliopsida; Poales; Bromeliaceae
Description: microRNA s0387_c40a
Source: RNAcentral
GAUGAUAGAACUUCCGAAUCGA